AUAGAGGAAUCCAGCUGCUAAUGCAAAUCAGGUGCCGACUUGUGAAAAACAAUUGUACAAUCUGCAUUAGUUUACGCAUAAUGAUAUUCAUAAAUCAGAGAUGGCGCUGCAUAGUACACACUUCAUUAUACACACAAGGAGAAAUAGAUAUUGUUUAUAGAAUCCUUAUUAAUUACAAAGUUGUAAGUGUCAGUUAUUGGUGCAGUGUCAGGUAUUGGGCAACUUACCUUAAUUAUAAGAGAGAAAUUAAAAUAUAUAAAUAUAAAAAAGGCUGUCAUGAGAUCUGUAUGUACAGCGUAA
RNAcentral lists this long non-coding RNA (300 nucleotides) under Androctonus crassicauda. Lineage: Eukaryota; Metazoa; Arthropoda; Arachnida; Scorpiones; Buthidae. The record is from RNAcentral.